UACAGAGGGGGCAAGCGUUGUUCGGAAUUACUGGGCGUAAAGGGCGCGUAGGCGGCCAGCACAAGUCAGUUGUGAAAUCUCCGGGCUUAACUCGGAAAGGUCAACUGAUACUGUGCGGCUAGAGUGCAGAAGGGGCAACUGGAAUUCUCGGUGUAGCGGUGAAAUGCGUAGAUAUCGAGAGGAACACCUGCGGCGAAGGCGGGUUGCUGGGCUGACACUGACGCUGAUGCGCGAAAGCCAGGGGAGCGAACGGG
RNAcentral lists this ribosomal RNA (254 nucleotides) under uncultured bacterium. RNAcentral's name for it is "partial 16S ribosomal RNA". It matches the Rfam family "Bacterial small subunit ribosomal RNA", at positions 524 to 776 of the family's 1533-position model. The record is from RNAcentral.